GGCAGCCUGGGGCCUGCUUCAUUGCUUUGUCUCCCGCUCCCUAAUAAUGUUUGGUUAUGUUCUGCUCCCCGGGAAUGGUCGUUCCCGCCCUGUCCAGUUCUGAACGCAUCCUUCCCGCUCUCCUUUAUGGCUGUUCCCGGCCGCCCUGGCACUCGUCUCAUCAUCCCCGGCAGUCGACGCCACUCUCUUCCGACCUCCAGGUCACCCAGUGUUUUGCCGGGGCUGCUCACCCUCUUUCGAAGCCGCAUCUCCCGAGCCACUCAUUCUCGCUCAGGAGGGCAAGCAGCCCCAGGGAGAGACUUGACGAUCAGGACCAGGUUGGCAAGCAGUGGGAGCCGAGGGCAUCCGAAUGCCAGAGAGAGUGAGGCCAUAACGGCAGUCUUAAUCCAGUUGGAUUCAACUGGUACAGCUUCCAGUUCAAAGAACCAUUGAAGCAGCUACAUGGCAACACCCUCCACUUAAUUCCAACUGGUUGCAGUUUGCCAAUCAGCUUGUCCCAGCAGAAGUCAACUGGUCCCAAUAAGAUUCAAAUGGUUGCAGUUGAAGUCAACUGGGAAAGUGGAAUCACAACAGGCUUCCCAUUGCCAAGAGGAAACACAGCUGCCGAGGCUGAAAUGGACCAGGAGGAAGCACGUCUGCCGAGAAUGCGAAUGAGCAAAGCAGCCGAACAUGAUAUCAUGUACGACCACCCGGCUCUGUCUCAACUCGCAGAACUACAGCCAACUUUGUCUGUGUGGGUAACAUCAAGCGAUAACCCAUAUUCAGGGCUAAAACAACCUGAAUUCAGAGUGGGAUGGAAAUGAGAAGGAGUGAGACCAUGUGCGAAAAGGAGAGGUCAACGUUUAUCAAUAAAGGAUCGAGGUCGCCUCAAAUCAGGCCAAGGGGGAAACAAUGACUGACUGAUUAUUUUAAUGUAUUGGAAUAGUAUUUUAAUACAUAUUUAAUUAAAGUUAGAUCUCUGUUUAAGGUAAUUUUCUUUUUUUAUUGUCUUCAUUCAUUUAUAUGUAUUUUUUUAAUGAACAGGCAAUGUUACUCAAAAUGAGUUUCCCUAUGAAUUUUCAUG
Long non-coding RNA from Carcharodon carcharias (great white shark), 1063 nucleotides. RefSeq lists it as uncharacterized. Lineage: Eukaryota; Metazoa; Chordata; Chondrichthyes; Lamniformes; Lamnidae. The record is from RefSeq and is a predicted model, not a curated record. The transcript has 3 exons.